AAAGAGAAGCAGGAGAGUGACAGGGUGUGACCGAGUUCUUCAGGAAGAUCUCCAUGGGAGACUGCAGGAGCUGGCUUGAAAGUUUCCUGGUGCACUGGGAGAAAAUGCUGGAGACAACAGCAUCACCAACCACAGCCCCAGCUACAGCCCAAUCCAGGGCCACGGCCGUACUCCCAUCGCCUGUAUGCUCCUGGUGACCCUCACCUGCUCCAUUCUCCUUGGUGUCCUAGGAUGUAUCUUUACAGUAAUAGGCUAACGAUGCUCCCAAGAAGGCUCCGAGGGUGUGGUCUAUGCCAGGGACUCUGCCUUCUGGUUGGCCUCCUUUGGAUCACCUGCUGUUCUUUUCUAGACCACCAGGAGUUCAGACCUUACAAAUCCAGAGACCGCCUUCAGAUCACGGUGAGACAGUCCAUGCAGUAUCUGAGGUCCUUUACUGCAUUUGGUGAUUCUGCCAUUCUGUGCUUUCUCUUAAAAUAAUAUGCCCCUUUCUCUGGGUGCUCAGUGGUGGAAUUUCCAUAUUUCCAGUUGAAAUGGUUGAACAAGAAAUCUCAACAAAGACAACCUUUUCCAUCUUCUCCUUUGAUUGUAGAAAAUCAGAUUCUUCUCUGCCUGCCCUCCUCUGCUCACAUCCCUGUCCCCACACAGCCUCCAGCCUGCUGUCCCCCAGGAACUUCCCAGUGCACUUGGCCAACAGAUCACAGCACAUUCAGCAACAGGCACUGUCCCCCAGGAGUCCCUGCUCCUCCACGCCAGCUCGCAGUCUUUCACUGCCCACCUCACCCCGUCCCCAUGCACCCCAGGGCCUCCAACACCUUCCCCCCUUUGAAGUGUCCUUAAUCACAUUGCCACCAACUGGUCUCUUAUGCUCUUGCCUGAGGACACACUCUAGGGUAGCCUCCACACCUGGCCCCCAGAACCUGGAGUAGGAGGGAUGAGAGGAACUUGUUUCCAAAGUGUGACCCUGGGAAUGAGGGUGAGGAAGGGCCCUCCCACUUCUACCCUCUGGGGCCAGAACCAUAUAUGUGGCUACUGGGAGAUGAUAUCAUAAUGGUCAUCUAUUUAGGCAAGACUCUGCAAACUGUUCCUGUAAACAGAAGACAAUGAAUGUUUUCAUCUUUGUGGGCCAUUUGGUGCCUGUCUUUGAUCAGCUACUCACCUCCACAUUUGUAGUGUAACAGCAGCCAAAGACAACGUGCAAAGGAUGGGGGAACAGAUUUGGCCCCAUCGUGGUUUGCUGACCCCAGGUUUAGGGUAUAUGCAGGGUCCCAGAUAUGGGUGCCCCAUACCCUAGGGAAUCAUCUUGAAUGGUGCCUCAGCUGUGUGCUGAGGAGCCAGAAAGGCACCCUGUCCUGCCUGUGGCUCUGGGUGGAGUGAAUGUGACAGCAUGUGGGUCCUACAGGUGUGGGCCCUGGUCACCUCCUUUCUGUAGAGUGGAUUCCUCUGUCUAAAGGGAUGAUAAGGGACACUCCAUGAAGCCACAGGUGGGAUGCAACACUUCUGGUGUCAGGAUCUGGGCCACCUACUUGUGCACAUUAUUUGUUCCCUGUGGCCCUGCUCAUGCCAAUGCCAGAAGAAUCACUUCUAUUUUAUGACCACUGGGUCUGAUUCUCAUGAUGGGCAACUCUGAUUCUCAUGGCCAGAGGCCUCAUCUCUG
Equus caballus (horse) is the source of this 1654-nucleotide non-coding RNA. NCBI's taxonomy places the organism in Eukaryota, Metazoa, Chordata, Mammalia, Perissodactyla, Equidae. The record is from RefSeq and is a predicted model, not a curated record.